CUGGUCGACUUGCGAAUGACCAGCGAAUCUCGCGAUUCCCAAUUCCAAGCCGAUGAAUGAUCUGUUGUUUUUCUUUCUUCAAUUCCAGUCAUAUCUGCGGAGUGAAAAAUACCCGCGAAAGUGAGCGAAGCACGCGUUACAAAUACGUGGCGAAUAACAAAUCACGGCGUAAAAACAACAAAGUUAAACGGUCAUUGAAGGUGUCAUUACACCUAAUGUCUUGUUAUUAGAUUGAUUGCGAUAAUACCUCCUUGAUGCACACAUUUUCUCACCACUCAUUACCAAAUCUUUCGCGUCGGUUGGCUGUUAUUGAACCGUGGCUACAAGUUCUUAUACUCUCGUCGCUAUCAUUGACCCCGAGUCAGGUCACCGAGAAAAAUUACACAUACUUAUACGUACGACGUGACGGAUAUCGCUGACCAUUCAAGCAAAAGGUCUAGUUGAGAGGAUAGCCUUCAAUGCUGAAGAAGAUACAAGGCCAGUAACACGGGAAACAGUAGCAGGAUUGAGAAGUUUUGCGGUCUUAUGGAACAUUACAUGCGAAAGAGCAGAAAAUGAUGGGCUUCUUGGAGAAAUGUCAAUUCUUCAUCAGCCUGCGUUGACGAGCUUUCGUAUUUAGCGCCGAUUACCCAAGUAUUGAAAUAAUUUUUUAUCACCACAUCCCAUUGCGCUUUAUAAUCACGUGACACGAUGCAGGCAAUUAAAUAAUCGUGAAACUUCAGGCUUGAUCCGUAUGUGAAAAUCCUUUCUCGAUACUGACUGACAUUCAGGCGACUUGCUAACACCUGGAAUAGUCAUUAAAUCGCGCUUUGCCGUUCGACUUGACACCUUGAGCUAAUUACAUGAAAGCAAAAAGAAGUGCAGCAGGAACUGUAGGAAACUACUUAUUCAUCGUUGCAUCGACAAUGUAUGUAAUAUGUCGUGCCUAACCUUGUAGAUUUGCCCAUGAGUUUCACAACAGUUCCUUCAAACGCUUGUCUGUUAUUUACAUUCGGUUAUGCUUGAUUCUAUCUCUGUUAUUCCCCGCUCGUUUAACCGUAAAUCGUUUGCGUCAAGUCAGAGAUACGAAGGUGGUUAACAAUGGCGAAUAGUAUGCGUGAGGUGUAAGUAUGAUGAUAAUUUUAUGUAUAAAAUGACAAAUAUAUGCCAUGCUGUCAGUGCAGGAACGGCUUUUUUCACUUGGCUCUUUAUAUUUCUUUUAAUGCACGCCUUCACUACGGCCGAGACAGCAACUUUGUCUAUGACAACCUGUUCAAUGCGAGAGGAACUAAGUAACCAGGGGAUUCCCUGAAGACCGGUUUCAUCCAAGUCUUUUACAGUAAGAUGAACUCUUGAUCUUGGCUUUGCGUGAAACGCAACAUGGACCAAUGGCCGAGAAGGACGUAACCAUCGACUGACAGUCUUCCCUUCAAGAUACUUUUAUCACCUUGGAAACGACUCGAGCGGGAGUAUCGAUGCCGGAAUUGGUGGAAAUUGGUCAACCUCCCCUUGCAAGGGGUGGUUAAGAAGUAUUUUCUCAUAAUCAGCAAGUUCCCACGAGUCCUGUUCACCAGUCGAACUGGUUAAUGUGCAGAACGACAAAUUGCAAACCCAAGUGGCCAGUCAUAGCGUAAAACCCGCAGAUUUAUGACGCCACUUUCCAUCGCCCGGUUAUUCAAAACGAGACCCAUUUUGCCACAGAACCAGCUAAAUGUACCGGAGUAGAGAUCCCGGGAUUCGAACAGAAAGACGUUGACGGCGUUGUUCCCGAAGGCACUAUCGCAGCGUGACUCUGCAGUGACUCUGUUCCUAGGAAGACGGUCCCUUACACCUACCGACCGCAUAGGUGCUGAAUUACCGUAUUUGUAUGACGUAUACACGAAUGCGAUAAAUAAAUACACACUCCGUUGAGAUUCGUUCCCGGUAUUUCCAAGAUCUCUCAUUCGCACAUAGUCACAACUAAAUAUGUCACACACGUGCGUCUCCUUUAAUCAACCUUAUACCCACGUAACAUGAACAGUGGAAACUUCCUUUCGUUAGACAGACCUGCAGAAUUUUUUUCUAGAAAAUGCUAAACAAAUGAGUUAGUGUGGUUCCAACGUAUUUUGAUGCAUUGAAUACGAUA
Molecule: long non-coding RNA, 2104 nt
Organism: Neodiprion virginianus
Lineage: Eukaryota; Metazoa; Arthropoda; Insecta; Hymenoptera; Diprionidae
Exons: 4
Source: RefSeq, a predicted model, not a curated record